Non-coding RNA from Zonotrichia albicollis (white-throated sparrow), 456 nucleotides. The record is from RefSeq and is a predicted model, not a curated record. NCBI's taxonomy places the organism in Eukaryota, Metazoa, Chordata, Aves, Passeriformes, Passerellidae.
ACUUGUAAUGACUCUUGCAUUUUUUACAGAAAGUUAUCUAAGUAAAUCUUUCACAAUAGCUUAGGACUUUUUGUGGUGUGCCAAAAUAUAUCCUACCUCAAUGCCACUGGGAUCCAGGAAUUAGAUGAAGUGUCAGAGAAGCUAAAACAAAGACUCAUGCCUGGAAUAUUCCUAAAAGAAUCCGAAAAGCAUCAGUGUUCUGUGGCUGAGUGGUGCUGUUUGAGGAGGAUCAUUUGCUGCUGCUAGAUGAAACUUGUAAAAAUACCAGGAGAAGAAAGGUUCCAAGACUUUGAUUCCCAGUUUGAAGUUGAUGAUUCCCAAUGAAGAUGGCAGCACUGUCAACACCCUGCUUCAUGCCAGCCUCUCCUGGUGCAGAAGAGGAAGGGAUUGCUGGUUUUCCAGUAAAAAAAAUGUGAUGGCAUGGAAUGUUUGACAACUCUGCAAACCUUGGAAGCA